RNAcentral lists this non-coding RNA (103 nucleotides) under Actinobacillus succinogenes. RNAcentral's name for it is "Glycine sequence". It matches the Rfam family "Glycine riboswitch aptamer". From Rfam's summary of the family: This family represents the bacterial glycine riboswitch. Glycine riboswitches usually consist of two metabolite-binding aptamers domains with similar structures in tandem. Lineage: Bacteria; Pseudomonadati; Pseudomonadota; Gammaproteobacteria; Pasteurellales; Pasteurellaceae. The record is from RNAcentral. RNAcentral also lists the same sequence under 1 other name.
GGACGAACCCUUGGAGAGAGCCGUUCGCAUUUUAUGCGUGGACGCCGAAGGCGAAAAAGUGGUGACACUUGAAACGCUCAGGCAAAAGGACAGGGGCAAGAGA